RNAcentral lists this ribosomal RNA (492 nucleotides) under uncultured bacterium. RNAcentral's name for it is "partial 16S ribosomal RNA". It matches the Rfam family "Bacterial small subunit ribosomal RNA", at positions 29 to 507 of the family's 1533-position model. The record is from RNAcentral.
AGUGAACGCUGGCGGUAGGCCUAACACAUGCAAGUCGAACGGCAGCACAGUAAGAGCUUGCUCUUACGGGUGGCGAGUGGCGGACGGGUGAGGAAUACAUCGGAAUCUACUUUUUCGUGGGGGAUAACGUAGGGAAACUUACGCUAAUACCGCAUACGACCUACGGGUGAAAGCAGGGGAUCUUCGGACCUUGCGCGAUUGAAUGAGCCGAUGUGGGAUUAGCUAGUUGGCGGGGUAAAGGCCCACCAAGGCGACGAUCCGUAGCUGGUCUGAGAGGAUGAUCGCCCACACUGGAACUGAGACACGGUCCAGACUCCUACGGGAGGCAGCAGUGGGGAAUAUUGGACAAUGGGCGCAAGCCUGAUCCAGCCAUACCGCGUGGGUGAAGAAGGCCUUCGGGUUGUAAAGCCCUUUUGUUGGGAAAGAAAAGCAGCAGGUUAAUACCCCGCUGUUCUGACGGUACCCAAAGAAUAAGCACCGGCUAACUUCGUG